UAAAAGUAACUUAUCUUUGAUCAGUGCUACUCAGUCAUUUCAGAAUCACUAGCUCAACCUUCCAGAAACGAAGGGUUAUGAAAGUAUUCAAAGAGCGUCUCAGGCUUGGCACAAGUCCCUGUGGGGCAGGACGGAGAUGGGGGUGUUCAGUCCCCAGUGUGCAAAGCACCCGACCGCAGGUCCAUCCCACAGGUUGGCGCCGCAUGGGGUUGCGGCUGGGCAGGCGCCCUCCAGCCCCUGCGCGGACUUAGGACCGGGGUAGUGACAUUGACAACCCUCCGCUGCCCGGGGGAGGCUCGAAAUGGUCACGGGAUUGGGAUAGGGGCGUGACAGUCUCCAGGCGGCGCGGGGCGGACACCGCAGGGAGCAGUAGCCAGUCUGCCCCUCCGGGGCCCGGGAGAGGCUCAGCCGCGCGUGGCUCUGCCCUCUCCCCAGCGCCUCCAACGCCCCGCCCGCGGCGCAUCUGGGGCCGGGCUCGGGCGAGCGGCCAGCCCUACCUCCUCGGUGGCGGUGGGGCAGUAGGAGAUGAGCACGAGCGUGCGCAUUUGAUACCAAGGUUGGAUAUUUUUACACACGAUCUUCCCUGGAAUUGAGGGCAGGAACCCAGACGUGUCCUGGGGACACCGGGGGAGCCGGCUUGCUACGCAUUGGUGGGUCACUGGCCCCUUAUCUCACAAUGAACUCACUUGGACAGGGGACAUCUGUCAUAAACAUGUUCUGUUGCACAACCUGAGACAGGCCUGUCACUUGCUUUGCUCUUCACUUCAUGGUUCUGAUCUGUACGCACUUUCCAAGGCCUAGGACCAGCCAGAAAUUGCUUCCAAGACGCUUGUUGGCGCAACCUCUAUCAGCAAGUGCAGCAGGGGUCCACAAACUGGUCCCUGUGGGCCAGACCCAGCCCACCACCUCUUUUCCGACAGCCCUCCAGCUAAGUACGGUUUUUACAUUUUUAAAUGAUUGGGGAAAAAAUCAAAAGAAUACUAUUUUGUGAUGUGAAAUUAUAUGAAAUUCAAAGUUCAGUGCCACAAAUAAAGCCAUGUCUCUUCCUUACGUAUUGUUUGGCUGCCUUCAUGCUACAGAGGCAGCAGAACUCAGUUGUGACAAAGACCAUACGGCUGGCAAAGCCUGGAAUAUGUCCUACUAGGCCCUUUAAGGAGAAAAGUGGCAACCACUGCCUUAGAGCAAUGAGGAUGUCUACAGACCAAGCAUGUAUGUUUGAGGAAUAUGUAUCUCCUCAUCUUUAAUGUAAAAAGCGAUGCUGACAAAUGCAGGAAAGGAAAUGGAAUGAUGGAGAUCACUUUUAGCAAUGCCGGCUUAUGUGCAGUGAACUUGACAGUACCUACUUUUUAAUUUACCAAUGCCAUGAAUUGUCCAAGGAAAAAUCCUUUUUCAGAUUAGCAAAUAUUACCAUAUUAAAAAUAAUUUCUAAUGUACAUCAAAAGACAUCAUAAAGAGAAUGAAAAGGCAAGCCAUAAACUGGGAAAAGGCAUUUCCUUCAAAUAAAACCCACAAUGACUAGUACCCAGAUUAUAUAAAGAACUCCUAAAAAUCAAUCAGAAACAAAAAUAAUCAACGGGGCUAUGUUCAGUUUCUAUAGCAGAAACCCUGGAACAUGGUAAUGUAAAGAAAAUAUUUCUCUCUCACAUAAAAGAAGUAAAGAAUUGGCACUCCAAGAUUGGUACGAUUUUUCCAUGGUCAUCAGAAACUCAGGCUCUUCUGUCUCUGCUCCAGUAUCCUCUCUGACUUGUAUCUAUAAGGUCAUCUCAUGGUUCAGAAUGGCUGGUGAAGCUCCGUCAUCCUAUUUGCAUUUCAAGCAGCAGGAAGUAGGAAGAGGAGAGGAAAAAAAAAGGUAGAUACCACUGGCUGGGGAACAAACUGGGGUGCCUCUCCAAAAGUCCCAAACAGUACUGCUCCAUACAGUAGUCCCCCUUUGUCCCUGGUUUCACUUUCUGCAGUUUUAGUUACCCACAGUCAACCAUAGUCCAAAAAUAUUAAAUGGAAAAUUCCAGAAAUAAACAAUGUAUGAGUUUUAAAUUGCAUGCCAUUCUGAGUAGUGUGAUGAAAUCUCACACAGUCCCCCUCUUCCCCACUCAGGACAUACAUCAUCUCUUUGUCCAGCGUAUCCCUACUAUAUAUGCCACCUGUCCGUUAGUCAUUUAUUAGCCAUCUUGGUUAUCCAAUAGAAACAACAUGGUAUGUAUAGGGUGCUGUACUAUCCAUAGUUUCAGGCAACAACUGGGGGUCUUGGAAUAUAUCCCCUGGAGAUAAGGGGACUGUUGGAUUAUACAUCUCAUUGGCCAGAACUUAUAUGUGCCCUACCUGAGUGGAAGUGUUAGCUAGGAAGACUAGAUGGUUGCAACCACUUAAAAAACAACCUGGCAUUUUCUGAUAAAGUUGAACAUGCAUAUACUCCGAUACCACAAUUCUGAUUCGAGAAUAUAUCCUAAAGAAAUUCUUGCACAGGUAUCAUAGGAGAUAGGUAUAAGAAUAUUCAUGAUACCUUUGUUGUACAAUAACCAAAAGCUGUAAAUAACUUAUAUGUCCACUAAUACUGAAUGGGUAAGUAAACUGGCAUUUUCAAGUAAUUUAAUAUUAUGUAGCAAGUUUAAUAUAGCAGUAAAAAAAUUAAUGAACUAUAGGUACACUUAUGAACAUGAAUGAAUUGCACAAGCAUACAUCGAGUGAAAAAAAAAAGCAGAUAUAUUAGUCAGCUUGGGUUGUCAUAACAAAAUACCAUAGACUGAAUCACUUAGACAACGGGACUUUAUUUCUCACAGUUCUGAAGGAUGGGAAGUCCAAAGUCAAAGUGUGUUUCUUAGUGAGGAUCUUUUCCUGGCUUGCGGAUGGCCACCUUGUAUGUUCUCACAUGGCACAGAGAGAGAGAGAGAGGAAGCUCUCUGGUGUCUCCUUAUAAAGUCCUUAUAAAAGCACUUAUCCCCUCAUGAAGGCCCCACCCUUGUGAUAUCCAAUAUCCUAAAGGCUCCAUCUCCAAAUACCAUCACACUGUGGAGGAUUAGGGCUUCCACAUAUGAAUGGGGGUGGAGUAAGGGCAGGAUACCAUCCCGUCCAUAACAGCAGGUCAUAGACAAAAUGCACGCAGUAUUAUUUUACUUAUAUAAUGUUAAAAAACAUGCAACUACACUUCACAGUUCCCAUGUGGCAAAGCUAUGAGGAAAAGAAAAAGAAUUACAAGUACAAUCCUGCCAGUGGUUACUCCUGAUAGAGAGGAAAGGAAAUGCAAUUGUAGAGGGGCAUAUGGCAGGUUUCAAAGGUAUUGGUAAUUGUUUUAGAAUGCAGCUAGGCAAACUACAGCAGCCUAAAGGAAAUAAAAGUUGAUUUUUCCCACACUGAUGUCUGGAUAGGCAUGGUAGGGCUUCAUGGCAGCUCAAUGGUGUCAGAGACACAGGUUUCUUUCAUUUUGUUGGUCUGGCACCGUUAGGAUGUUGUCCUUGAUCUUGUGGUCAAAAGUGGCCAGCCACAACUCCCAACCAAUUUGAAGGAGAAAAAGAGAAAGGGCUGCUAUGCUCCUUUCUUCUGAAGGCCAUGACCAAAGGUUGCACACAUCACUUCUGCUCUCAUUCCACUGGCCAGAACCUGGCCACAUGGCUACUAUGCCUAACUGCAAAAGAGCCUGCAAAUGCAAUCUUUAGCCAGACAGCCAUCUGCCCAGCUAAAAUUUCUGUUAUUUAUUUAUUUAGAGACAGAGUCUUGACCUGUCGCCCAGGCUGGAGUGCAGUGGCACAAUCUGAACAUACGUCAACAUCCUUCCAGGUUCAAGUGAUUCACCUGCCUCAGCCUCUUGAGUAUCUGAGAGUGCAAGUAUGCACCAGCACACCCAGUUAAUUUGUGUAUUUUUAGUAGGGAUGGGUUUUCACCAUGUUGGCCAGGCUGGUCUCAAAUGCCUGAUCUCAAAUGAUAAUCCUGCCUUGGCCUCCCAAAGUGCUGGGAUUACAGGUGUGAGCCACCACAAUUGGCCAAAACAGUUCUAUUAUUAUUGAAAAGUGAGACAGUGAGUAUUGCAGGAAGCCAUCAAGCCGUCUCAAUCACAGUUUUUUAACUGUGUAGUAGUGUGUUCAUUUUCCUAUUAUUUAUGCCAUCUAUAUCUAUAUAUAUCUACAUAUAUAUAAUCCUAUGCCAAGCAUAUAUAUGAUAUAUAUCUACAUAUGUAUUUAUAUUAUUUACAUAUACAUACAUCUAUAUCUACAUAUAGAUGGCAUAAAUAUUUGUAUAUUCUACAAAUAUGAAAUGUCAUAAUUUAAAAAUAGUAAAAGUAUAAAUAUAAAAACCAUUUUUUUAAGUACUCAUCAUUCUCUAAGGUAAUUUUUCCCUGUGCUUCUUUGCUGAAAUUUAGGAAAUUUCAAAUUAAUUCGAGACAUACUAAGUCAUAUUUAUUUCUUCUACCUUAGCCCUCUCUAACAUACUCUAAUGUCAAAAAAGUAUAUUAGAGAUUUCCUAAUUUUAUUUCUUGCGUCAUGGCCCCCUUCCAUUUUCACGGGUUGUUGCAUAGUGAUUGAUAUAUACUAUGUUUCCCCCUUUUCUUGAGUUAAACUGGUAGCUCACAUUUAUGAGUUUCUAUCCUAUGCUAAGCACUGUUCUAAAUAUCAGGAGUUAUCUCGGUUACUCCUUGCAAAAACUCUAUGAAAGAGACUAUUGUUAUCCCCAUUUUACAGAUGAGGAAAUUGAAGCAUAGUGAGGUUCAAAAACUUACCCAUGACUGCACAGCUAGUGGAGCGGUAAAGCCAGGAUUCAAGCCCAUGUAGUCUGAUUUCAGAGCUUAUGUUCCCAAUGACUGCAAAAUGCCACCUAUUAAUUUAAAUGUAUUAAAUGUAGGACGUUAGUGGGUACUUUUGUCAAUAUGGAACAGUUGAAUUUCUAUAUAUCAUGUUGGUUUUGUGCCAUUCCAGUCCAUUCUAAAUAUCAUGACAAAAUUAUUGUACUAAAUUUAGUAAAACUAAUGAUAUAUUCCCUUGUUCAGAAGCCUUUGAUAAAGUCCAGCCUCCCUCCCUUGGCAUUUGAAGGCCCACUCUACCCUCCUAGUCUUACCUCCCUAAUAUCUCUUCCCCCGUUCUUCUCCCUCUCUCAUGUUCCAGCUGCCUGACCCCACUGGCUGUCCCCAAACCCACUCUUAUUUGUUCCCUGUUAGGGAGUACCCUCAAUCCCUUAUUAUCCCUAUCACACUGCCUGUCACUCAAGACUCAGCUUAAAUGCCACCUUCUCGAAAAUGACCUCUCAGAGUCUUCCAUUUUAAUCCUCCUAUUCCUACACAACCAGAGCACUUUGUACACUGUUACGCAGGCUAUCUUUGUUCAGUUACUUGUGUAUUGAUUAGCCUCCCCACCCAGGUCAUAAAGUGUCAGACCAUCCCUGCCCUGAGUAUGUUCCUCAAUGCCUGGCAUCUGGUAGACGUCCAUAAUUCAAAAAAAUUAUUUAAAAAUAAUUACAGACACACAGGAAGUUGCAAAAAUAGUACCAAAAAUCCCUUGUACACAGCUUCCUCCUGUGGUAACUUCUCGCAUUUCCAAAGUACAAUAGGGAUGCAUAAAUGUUUAUUUGAUGGUUUAACUAAACUGAAUUCCUUUCCCAAAGGAGAAAGAACAUCUUGCUUUAGGCUCUUGGUUUUACUACUAGUUCUUUUGUGUAACUUUCAGUGAUAUUUAAAAUCUUCCUCAACAUCCUCAAUCUCUAGGCCAACUUUCCAGAAAACGUUAAACAGUGUCAUACAGGCAGAUUAGGUACUAUUGUGUGUGAAAUAACCAGUUACAAGUCCAUGGACUUUCAUUGGUUUGAAAGAAAGAAUGGGUUGCAGUAAGAAAUCACCUGGCUAAAGGCCUGGCAUGGUGGCUCACGCCUGUAAUCCCAGCACUUUGAGAGGCUGAGCCAGGCAGAUCACUUGAAGCCAGGAGUUUGAGACCAGCAUGGCUGAUGCGGUGAAGCCCAGUCUCUAUUAAAAAUACAAAAAUUAGCCAUGCGUGGUGGCACACACCUGCAAUCCCAGCUAAUCAGGAAGCUGAGGCAGGAGAAUCUCUUGAACCCAGGAGGCAGAGGGUGCAGUGAGACCAGAUCAUGCCACUGCACUCCAGCAGGGCAACAGAGUGAGACCCUAUCUCAAAAAAAAAAAAAAAUCACUUGUCUAGGCUUGCGUUGCAAUAGAAUUUUAUCAUGAAGCAUCAAGCUAUCUGUGUGUUUAGAAUUCUGAGCUUUAGACCUAUAGGCUGGAGUAUUUGUCAUUAGUAUAGUUUAAAGUAUAAUACUUGCUUUACUUGCUUAAGUUUUGUAUUUUUAUGGUUUUGUACUUUCAGACUCUGAAGUCUAAAUUUUAUGGAACUAUGGUACUUUACAAAAUUCAUGGGUAGAUAGGCAGUGUUCAAUAAUAGAUAAAACCUUUGCUCUUCUCUCUAAAAAUGCUUAAUUUCCUGGACAGGAUCAGAAACAAAAUUUCACAAUACAAUCCCUGAGAUGUUGUAAUUGUGCCCUUUAUCUGAAAUUGCAAAAGCAAUUUAGGGUUAAGAAAACUGCAGAGACACAGUUCUUAGAUUCUUGUUUAUAUCCUUUAAUCAUUUUUUUAAAUAAUCUUUUUCGGAGUUUAUAUCCUACUGCUCUAAAAUGCUUUCUCUGGUAUGAUUUGAGAAACACUAGAGGGAACAUACUUCCUCAAAGACUCCUUUUUCAGGAACCCAGUUUGCCUAAAAUCCCACAGUGAGUUAGCUUUUGAGUUAGGGCUUUUAGGAGUAAUAGUUUAAGUUCCAUCUAGACAUUAGGCUAGGUCAUUAUCAGGAAUACCUGAGAGAGGAUAUAUUUAUCAGGAUGCUUUUCCUCUGGGACAGCUAAGAGACAAUGCCUCUAAAUAACAGCCGUGCAAGAAACAAGACAGAAAGAGUCUGGGGCGUGGCCUCUCCAACAUAAACAGCACAUGAAUCACUGGGGAUCCUUUAAAAUGCAGAUGCUGAACUUAAGGAUCUGGGGCAGGGCUCGAGAGUUUUCAUUUUUUUGUUUUAUUGUACUGUAGUUCUGUGGUACAGGUGCAGAUCAUGCAGGGUUGUUGCAUAGGCACUUACAUAACCAGGUGGUUUGCUACCUCCAUUUCCCUUUCAUCUAUAUCCAGCAUUUCUCCCCACAUUAUCCCUUGCCACCCUCCCCACCGCCCGCUGUCCCUCCCCUAGACCCCCCAAUUGACCCCAGUGCGUGAUGUUCCUGUCCCUGAGUCCACGUGUUCUCAUUGUUCAACACCCGCCUAUGAGUGAGAACAUGCGGUGUUUGGUUUUCCGUUCUUGUGUCAGUUUGCUGAGAAUGAUGGUUUCCAGAUUCAUCCGAGUCCCUACAAAGGACAUGAACUCAUAGUUUUUUUAUGGCUUUGUAGUAUUCCAUGAUGUAUAUGUACAUUUUCUUUGUCCAAUCUAUCGAGAGUUUUCAUUUCUAAGAAGCUCCCAGGUGGUCAGCUGAGUAAUGAGGGACUGAAGCACACCAUCUUCGGAGGCUUGGAUGGAGGCACCACCCUGAGCUCUCUGGCUCUCAGGCCUUCAACUACACCUCCAGCCUUCCUAGGUUUUGUGGGCAGCAAAUCAUGGGAUUUCUCAGCCUCCAUAAUUCCAUGGCGAAUACCUUAUAAUUCAUCUCUUUCUAGAUUUUUCUUUUUCGUUCCUCUUUUCCCUUUCCUUUCCUUUCCAUUCCCUUCCCUUUCCUUCCUUCCUCUCCGAUUGGUUGUUUCUCUGAAGAACCCUGACUAAUAUAAUAGCCAAGCGAUAGCCUUGAAGACUGAAAGACUGCAGGUCCAUGCUUGUCAGGUAAGUUUCAGAGUCACCUGUCCUUGAGUGAACUACAUAGGGUUGGACCGUUAAACUAAAAUACUGCUUUUGCUUUUUCUAUGGGUGACUUUUUUGUAAAGUGUAAUACAAUGACAGACAUCUCUGCAGUCACCACUAUAGAUAGAAGACCAGAGGCCUUUCCUUCUCUCCAUUUUCUGGGCACCAAGAAAGAUUCCUGCUGACUCUAGAAUCUGAAUCCGCAAACAGGACAGAGAAUUUCUCAAUCUUCCUAGCUAAUGGAGAGCUCAGAGUUACGUUUAAUUUGAUUUAGGAAAAUUAAGUAAUAUGGAGGAAAGAAAAAGACCACGCUUGGGGGCCAGAUGGAAAAACAGAAAAUGCUUUCUCAUUUCAACCAGAUUUCAAAGCAGCAGAGUGCAGAGAGGCAGUGGCCAGGCCCUCAGUAUUCCUCAGGAUUGCUUGAGUGCAAGUCUCGCAAAUAUGAAUCAAUUAUGUUUGGAGGUACGCCUUGCAAGAGGAGCCUGCAGAAGGACAGCCCACCUAGCGAGGACAAAAAGGAAAAGAGACAAAUCAAAACCAUCUACGUGAAAAAUCGCUAAAACAAUACUUCUUGACUAGCUGCCUGGAAAUGUGACUAAUUAUGUUCCCGUUAGUUACAAAGAUUCAUUCAGUCUCUACUUGUAAAUCUUCUCCUGGUUUUAGUACAUUUAGAAUUUAAAGCACUUGGCAUCUAGAAGGAAAAGCAAAUUCCCAGCAGAACACAGUUUUUCCCCUACUAUUGUUCAAUCUUCAUUUAAAUUCGCAAGUGGUUGGAAAAUACUUACUGCUCUUUGAGAGGUUUUGUGAUUCCUCAUAGAUGAUUUAAAUGUUCUGACUGAAUAGCAGAAUACAUGCAUACCACGUUAUGGAUCAGUGGGAAGAUCUGCUUCCAGUUUGUUAAUGUUCUUUUUAAUUAAGCACAGAGAGUUCUGAUUCAAGCACAUUGGAAAAGAAAAUCUACUCCCUUUAACUUUGGCCAUUUAUGCAUGUCAAAAGCCCAAAAAGGAAAUCGGAAAUAUUUUAUUAAAAUUAUAAUAAGAUCGGUCCAAUACUUUCUGAAGGUGAGAGAAACACCUACCAAUAUUUCAUACCUACCUUCUGAGUUUCUUAAUUAUAUUAAAAAAAUAAAAGUACCCUUCAAGAGAGAAUCCAUGAAAUCACAAAAAUUCAUGAUCCUUUAGUGAAGUGCUUCACUACUUGCUAAUAAAUUCACGUCCAGACAAAGCAGCAUGCCAUUUGAACAUUCUUAAAAACUUCUUUAAUGCAAAUUUGAGAAAGUCAUUCUCCUUUUUUUAAAAAAAACAACUCAAGUCACAUAUUGGUAGAAAUGAUGCCACUUAUGUACAUGUCCAUUCCUUGAUGCAAAUAAUUCAGGAUGCUUGGGUAUCACUCGUUUUUGUCUACAUUAAAUGCUUUGAUUCAUGCUCUACUGCA
Molecule: non-coding RNA, 9233 nt
Organism: Callithrix jacchus (white-tufted-ear marmoset)
Lineage: Eukaryota; Metazoa; Chordata; Mammalia; Primates; Cebidae
Source: RefSeq, a predicted model, not a curated record